This 468-nucleotide ribosomal RNA is filed under the name uncultured bacterium. RNAcentral's name for it is "partial 16S ribosomal RNA". It matches the Rfam family "Bacterial small subunit ribosomal RNA", at positions 28 to 507 of the family's 1533-position model. The record is from RNAcentral.
GACGAACGCUGGCGGCGUGCUUAACACAUGCAAGUCGAACGGAAAGGCCCUGCUUUUGUGGGGUGCUCGAGUGGCGAACGGGUGAGUAACACGUGAGUAACCUGCCCUUGACUUUGGGAUAACUUCAGGAAACUGGGGCUAAUACCGGAUAGGAGCUCCUGCUGCAUGGUGGGGGUUGGAAAGUUUCGGCGGUUGGGGAUGGACUCGCGGCUUAUCAGCUUGUUGGUGGGGUAGUGGCUUACCAAGGCUUUGACGGGUAGCCGGCCUGAGAGGGUGACCGGCCACAUUGGGACUGAGGUACGGAGCAGAAUGCUACGGGAGGCAGCAGUGGAGAGUAUGGCACAGUGGGCGGGAGCCUGAUGCAGCAGCGCCGCGUGCGGGAUGACGGGCUACGGGUUGUAAACCGAUUUCGACGGUGACGAAGCGUGAGUGACGGUAAUGGGUAAAGAAGCACCGGCUAACUACGUG